GGUAAAAUAGUUUAAAUUAAGAACAUAACACUGAAAAUGUUAAAAUGACCAUAGGCCUUUACCCA
Molecule: transfer RNA, 65 nt
Filed under: Gibbosula crassa
Lineage: Eukaryota; Metazoa; Mollusca; Bivalvia; Unionida; Margaritiferidae
Description: tRNA-Phe
Rfam family: tRNA
About the family: Transfer RNA (tRNA) molecules are approximately 80 nucleotides in length. Their secondary structure includes four short double-helical elements and three loops (D, anti-codon, and T loops).
Source: RNAcentral